Molecule: ribosomal RNA, 804 nt
Filed under: uncultured bacterium
Lineage: Bacteria
Description: bacterial SSU rRNA
Rfam family: Bacterial small subunit ribosomal RNA
Source: RNAcentral
AGAGUUUGAUCCUGGCUCAGGACGAACGCUGGCGGCGUGCCUAACACAUGCAAGUCGAACGAGAAUCUUUGGAAUGAUUCUUUCGGGAUGAAUUCCAAAGAGGAAAGUGGCGGACGGGCGAGUAACGCGUGAGUAACCUGCCCAUAAGAGGGGGAUAAUCCAUGGAAACGUGGACUAAUACCGCAUAUUGUAGUUAAGUUGCAUGACUUGAUUAUGAAAGAUUUAUCGCUUAUGGAUGGACUCGCGUCAGAUUAGAUAGUUGGUGAGGUAACGGCUCACCAAGUCAACGAUCUGUAGCCGAACUGAGAGGUUGAUCGGCCGCAUUGGGACUGAGACACGGCCCAGACUCCUACGGGAGGCAGCAGUGGGGAACAUUGCGCAAUGGGGGCAACCCUGACGCAGCAACGCCGCGUGCAGGAAGAAGGUCUUCGGAUUGUAAACUGUUGUCGCAAGGGAAGAAGACAGUGACGGUACCUUGUGAGAAAGUCACGGCUAACUACGUGCCAGCAGCCGCGGUAAUACGUAGGUGACAAGCGUUGUCCGGAUUUAUUGGGUGUAAAGGGCGCGUAGGCGGACUGUCAAGUCAGUCGUGAAAUACCGGGGCUUAACCCCGGGGCUGCGAUUGAAACUGACAGCCUUGAGUAUCGGAGAGGAAAGCGGAAUUCCUAGUGUAGCGGUGAAAUGCGUAGAUAUUAGGAGGAACACCAGUGGCGAAGGCGGCUUUCUGGACGACAACUGACGCUGAGGCGCGAAAGUGUGGGGAGCAAACAGGAUUAGAUACCCUGGUAGUCCACACCGUAAACG